UGUAAUAGCUCCUGUAAGUUGCUCUGGAUAAGAGUGUCUGCUAAAUGACUAAAA
This is a non-coding RNA of Salmo salar (Atlantic salmon), 54 nucleotides long. The record is from Rfam. Lineage: Eukaryota; Metazoa; Chordata; Actinopteri; Salmoniformes; Salmonidae.